RNAcentral lists this long non-coding RNA (307 nucleotides) under Brassica rapa (field mustard). RNAcentral describes it as "long non-coding RNA (BRAP_LNC003541)". Lineage: Eukaryota; Viridiplantae; Streptophyta; Magnoliopsida; Brassicales; Brassicaceae. The record is from RNAcentral.
UCCUUUGUCUUCCCACAGGAAAAGACAAUUGGGGACAUCUUCUGGAAAACAGAGAAGUCUCUCUUCGCCUUCCCCUAAAACAGACGGAGAUGAAGUCAGUGUUGAGACAAACGCACAGAUUGAUCCGGAGUUAGCCAGAAUGAAGACUAUGAACGUACAUGAAGCUGCAGCGGUUGCAGCACAGGCAGUUGCAGAGGCAGAAGCUGCCAUGGCAGCAGCUGAAGAAGCUGCAAGGGAUGCAGAGUUAGCAGAAGCGGAAGCAGAAGUAGCUCAAGCUUUUGCAGAAGAAGCUUUAAAGACACUGAAA